GAUUGUGGCUCAGUGAUAGAGUGCUUGCCUAGCAUGCAUGAGGCACUGGGUUUGAUCCCUGGCAACA
RNAcentral lists this transfer RNA (67 nucleotides) under Marmota monax (woodchuck). RNAcentral describes it as "tRNA.Ala". It matches the Rfam family "tRNA", at positions 5 to 66 of the family's 71-position model. From Rfam's summary of the family: Transfer RNA (tRNA) molecules are approximately 80 nucleotides in length. Their secondary structure includes four short double-helical elements and three loops (D, anti-codon, and T loops). Further hydrogen bonds mediate the characteristic L-shaped molecular structure. tRNAs have two regions of fundamental functional importance: the anti-codon, which is responsible for specific mRNA codon recognition, and the 3' end, to which the tRNAs corresponding amino acid is attached (by aminoacyl-tRNA synthetases). tRNAs cope with the degeneracy of the genetic code in two manners: having more than one tRNA (with a specific anti-codon) for a particular amino acid; and 'wobble' base-pairing, i.e. permitting non-standard base-pairing at the 3rd anti-codon position. The record is from RNAcentral. Lineage: Eukaryota; Metazoa; Chordata; Mammalia; Rodentia; Sciuridae.